AUGCUCUUAUCCCUCUCUCUCGCCCCGACCACACACUACCAGAAACCUAGUUCGCUGGAUCCGCCGCCGGACGCAACCUACCACCCCUAGCCGUCGUGCUCCAGGCUGCCGGACGACGCCCUCCCGCCAGACCACGAAACUCUCCUCUCACGCAACCAACGAGCGGCCUCUCCUCGUUCCCAAAUCAGCCGUCUCCCCUCGUUCCCACCUACUCAGAUUCGUCGCCCAUCUUCCUACUCAUAUUCGCCCAGGUGGGCGAGACUGUGGCAACGGAGGAGGACGCCGCCGUACGAAUCGACGACGAGGCCAAACUCUAGGUCUGGAACACGUGCGAGUUCACAGCUCAGUAAGUCCCAGAUGCGAGCCAACCAAGGGACGCACACAGGUCUGGUCCAAGCUUCGGCGACCGCCGCAGCCUCCGGCAUUUUCCUGCUACGUGCGGCGGCACCGACCUGACUUCGAUAUGUUGACCUCACAAGGCGCCGAGGUGAGGCAAGCUGAGGCGACAAGGGAGAGAUCCGGCGCGGAGUUCUAAGUUCUGCCUACAUCUCCGCCAGACCUCGUCCGCCUUCAGGUUAUUGCUAUAAAGCAGCUCAAUAGGGAUGGUAAUCAAGGAAACAGAGAAUUUUUGGUGGUGGUUCUGAUGGAAAAGGCACUGGAGCAGCUUAAAAUUAUUGAUGGAAAGGGCACUGGUUUGUUCAACCGAACACAUCUGUCAGGGCCUGAGGAGAAGAGCACAAUCACGGAGAUAGGGGCGUAGGUGCCUUGCCGGUGUACUUGACCGGGAGCUGACAGCCGAGUACGAAAUCGCCGCCCCCAGCAGAAGAGAUGGUCGGGUGCCCUCAGCUGACGGGAUCGCCGCCCGCCCCCUAGCAGAAGAGAAGGGCGCCAAUGUGGGGAAGAACGGUAGAAGUUGAAAUUCAAACAGAACGAUAGAAGUUGAAAUCCGAAAUUCAAACAUAACAAUACACACGUACUUUCGCUGUAUUUCAGGGUUGUUGGAAUUUUCUCCAACGUCUUAUACAGUGUAAUGGAGCGAGUAUGUGUGAGACUAAUGCACCAUUAUCGCCUGUGUUUUAUGUUCAUUCUCUUCUGCUGUCAUGGUGCAUAUUCU
This is a long non-coding RNA of Lolium perenne, 1114 nucleotides long. RefSeq lists it as uncharacterized. The record is from RefSeq and is a predicted model, not a curated record. Lineage: Eukaryota; Viridiplantae; Streptophyta; Magnoliopsida; Poales; Poaceae.